UAGGGAAUCUUCGGCAAUGGGGGGAACCCUGACCGAGCAACGCCGCGUGAGUGAAGAAGGAUUUCGGUUCGUAAAACUCUGUUGUUAGAGAAGAACAGCGCAUAGAGUAACUGUUAUGCGUGUGACGGUAUCUAACCAGAAAGCCACGGCUAACUACGUGCCAGCAGCCGCGGUAAUACGUAGGUGGCAAGCGUUGUCCGGAUUUAUUGGGCGUAAAGCGAGCGCAGGCGGUCAAUUAAGUCUGAUGUGAAAGCCCCCGGCUCAACCGGGGAGGGUCAUUGGAAACUGGUUGACUUGAGUGCAGAAGAGGAGAGUGGAAUUCCAUGUGUAGCGGUGAAAUGCGUAGAUAUAUGGAGGAACACCAGUGGCGAAGGCGACUCUCUGGUCUGUAACUGACGCUGAGGCUCGAAAGCGUGGGGAGCGAACAGG
Molecule: ribosomal RNA, 429 nt
Filed under: Bacteroidota bacterium
Lineage: Bacteria; Pseudomonadati; Bacteroidota
Description: Bacteroidetes bacterium partial 16S ribosomal RNA
Rfam family: Bacterial small subunit ribosomal RNA
Source: RNAcentral